UGCAGUCGUACGCUUCUUUUUCCACCGGAGCUUGCUCCACCGGAAAAAGAAGAGUGGCGAACGGGUGAGUAACACGUGGGUAACCUGCCCAUCAGAAGGGGAUAACACUUGGAAACAGGUGCUAAUACCGUAUAACAAUCGAAACCGCAUGGUUUUGAUUUGAAAGGCGCUUUCGGGUGUCGCUGAUGGAUGGACCCGCGGUGCAUUAGCUAGUUGGUGAGGUAACGGCUCACCAAGGCCACGAUGCAUAGCCGACCUGAGAGGGUGAUCGGCCACAUUGGGACUGAGACACGGCCCAAACUCCUACGGGAGGCAGCAGUAGGGAAUCUUCGGCAAUGGACGAAAGUCUGACCGAGCAACGCCGCGUGAGUGAAGAAGGUUUUCGGAUCGUAAAACUCUGUUGUUAGAGAAGAACAAGGAUGAGAGUAACUGUUCAUCCCUUGACGGUAUCUAACCAGAAAGCCACGGCUAACUACGUGCCAGCAGCCGCGGUAAUACGUAGGUGGCAAGCGUUGUCCGGAUUUAUUGGGCGUAAAGCGAGCGCAGGCGGUUUCUUAAGUCUGAUGUGAAAGCCCCCGGCUCAACCGGGGAGGGUCAUUGGAAACUGGGAGACUUGAGUGCAGAAGAGGAGAGUGGAAUUCCAUGUGUAGCGGUGAAAUGCGUAGAUAUAUGGAGGAACACCAGUGGCGAAGGCGGCUCUCUGGUCUGUAACUGACGCUGAGGCUCGAAAGCGUGGGGAGCAAACAGGAUUAGAUACCCUGGUAGUCCACGCCGUAAACGAUGAGUGCUAAGUGUUGGAGGGUUUCCGCCCUUCAGUGCUGCAGCUAACGCAUUAAGCACUCCGCCUGGGGAGUACGACCGCAAGGUUGAAACUCAAAGGAAUUGACGGGGGCCCGCACAAGCGGUGGAGCAUGUGGUUUAAUUCGAAGCAACGCGAAGAACCUUACCAGGUCUUGACAUCCUUUGACCACUCUAGAGAUAGAGCUUCCCCUUC
Molecule: ribosomal RNA, 994 nt
Filed under: Enterococcus sp. NCCP-2318
Lineage: Bacteria; Bacillati; Bacillota; Bacilli; Lactobacillales; Enterococcaceae
Description: bacterial SSU rRNA
Rfam family: Bacterial small subunit ribosomal RNA
Source: RNAcentral